This 263-nucleotide ribosomal RNA is filed under the name uncultured bacterium. RNAcentral describes it as "partial 16S ribosomal RNA". It matches the Rfam family "Bacterial small subunit ribosomal RNA", at positions 793 to 1055 of the family's 1533-position model. The record is from RNAcentral.
GUCCACGCUGUAAACGAUGAGAACUAGAUGUUGGUAGGCAUGACCUAUUAGUAUCGAAGCUAACGCGAUAAGUUCUCCGCCUGGGGAGUACGACCGCAAGGUUAAAACUCAAAGGAAUUGACGGGGGCCCGCACAAGCGGUGGAGCAUGUGGUUUAAUUCGAUGCAACGCGAAGAACCUUACCUACCCUUGACAUCCUAAGAAUCCUGUAGAGAUACGGGAGUGCCGAAAGGAACUUAGAGACAGGUGCUGCAUGGCUGUCGU